RNAcentral lists this long non-coding RNA (512 nucleotides) under Rhipicephalus microplus (southern cattle tick). RNAcentral describes it as "uncharacterized LOC119186237". Lineage: Eukaryota; Metazoa; Arthropoda; Arachnida; Ixodida; Ixodidae. The record is from RNAcentral.
UUAUACUGCCAUCUUCAACUACGCAGACCUCACGUAAGUGGCAAAGCCAAUCGGACGCACGCUCAAGCUAGCUAAUUUUUCAUUUGACAGUAUAAAAGGACACCCGUUAGGCCGUUAGAAGCCGUUCAACAAUCUUAAAAAAAGAGAGCCACAUUUCAUACCAGCACUUUGUUAAGUUCUCCUGCUUACCAGGAUAUCCAUUUGUUGACCGCGCUUCCGACAGAGGAUUUGAAGUGUAAGACAAGACGUCACUGUAAGAAGAAUGGCAACAACGAAGACACUGCUUCCGUAUCUCAUUCUUUUUGCCAUAUUGGCAUCGAACGUUAACUGCAGACCUCGAAAUUCACACGCCAACGUAACUGUGAGAGAACGCAGCCGAAGCGAUUAUGAAUAUUGCCUGAGGCAAAGUUGCAAUGUCAUCUGUCCACCACCUUGCGCGUGCCCGAGCCUUUUCUAUCAAUGGCUCGGAUACAGGGGAUGUACAAUUGGGGACUGAAAAUUUUGAAAAAAAA